This 1164-nucleotide long non-coding RNA is filed under the name Parus major (Great Tit). RNAcentral describes it as "lncRNA (ENSPMJG00000001361.1)". The record is from RNAcentral. Lineage: Eukaryota; Metazoa; Chordata; Aves; Passeriformes; Paridae.
CACAGCCCCUGCUCUGUCACCUCACCAGCCUCUCUUGAUACCCCUCGCUCCCCAUAAAUUGACACACUGUGAUGCCCUGCUCUGGUCCUCACUGCAGUCAUCUGCUACUGAGUGACAAGCCAAAGGCUGAAAGAGUCUCAAAUUCAAUUGUGGUCUGAGAGAAAUAGGGCAUUUGCACCCCCACCUCCGUAGCAGGCCUCUCCCAAGGGCGGAAGGUGGCACACUCUUAUCAGCCCAAGGCACACACAAAUGGCCUUUCCAUCCUGAGGGAGGGAAAUUGAGGGAGGCACCACUUAACCACAGACCUACAGCACUGCCCCAAUAUCAUGGGCAGUGCCGCACAGUCCCCGUGGCAUUGCUGAGGGGUCUUUAGUAAAGGGAAGAAAGCUGUUAGAGGCAACAUGCAGUAUUCCUCCCCAACGAUUGAAUUGCAGGUCCAGGACCGAUGUAGGAAACAAAGUCUCCUCUGUCUUCUGAAGGACUCUGCAGCACUGGGUAUUCCCUGAAAUUUCCCUGAGCAGUUAAAAUGUUUAGGCAUCACUUACGUGGUGCCAUCUGUGCCCAGUGACUUGUGACUGAGCUCUUGCUGUGCCACAACUUGCGGCUGAGUCGCUUGACCUUAGCUAGUGGUCUGGAAAAAAGCAGCAAGGAUGGACACAACAAGAAAAUAUAAAUGAGCUGCCCAUGGGAAAUAAAUCAUCCCCAUCCUUUUCAAAAAUAAAUAUCUGCAUACCCCUGGGAAUUCUGUUGCCCUGGCAAAGGAACUAACCCCAGAACAAAGGGUCCCAGAUGGUUUCAGCACAGGGGUCACAGCCUGAGAAGUGAUCCAAAAGGUGGAUUUGUCAUUGCCUGAGGGAGGACAGCAUCUUAGUUCCUGCUUAUGUGGCACUAAGUGCAUAAACAGCACCAGAAAUCAGGUCUGAUCCAGCCUGCACAGCCACUGCGUGUGUUGGGACCGGGCACAGAGAGGUUGACAGGGGAACCAGCAGAUUAUCUGGCUAAUUACAUCCUGUUCUCUCCAAAUGAGGCGAGUUUCCAAGACGUUGCCCUGGUAAAUUGGCAAGAACAAGGAAAGACAAAUCAAGAGGGUUUCUGCCAGAUGAACUGCUGGGCUUCAUCCGCUCUUGGCUCCUGGGCUGACAGACUUGAGAAGGUGAACCAGAC